AAUAGCCUAUCGGCUGAACCAGCAACUUGGAGGAAUGUAUAUCGACUCUGUCGAAUAAAGUUCUAGUUAAGUUAUGAUAAUGACAUUUCUUAACUAUGUGUCUUGACCAAAUCACGUGCCAGCAGUCGCGGUAAUACGUGGAAGACUAGUGUUAUUCAUCUUUAACAGGUUUAAAGGGUACCUAGACGGUAAAUCAAGCCCCGAAAGGGUACUAAUUUACUAGAGUUUAAUAAGAGAGGGGGAGUACUGAUGAGUGGAGAGAUGAAAUUUUAUGAUACCAUUAGGAACAGUCAAAGGCGAAAGCGACCUUUUACAUAAAAACUGACGUUGAGGGACGAAGGCUUUAGUCGUGAACAGGAUUAGAUACCCAAGUAAUUAAAGCAGACAAUGAUGAAUGUCAUAGAUUAGUGCGUGGUAUUAAUCUAUAAACGAAAGUGUAAGCCUUCCACCUCAAGAGUAAUGCGGCAACGCAGAAACUGAAAUCAUUAGACCGUUUUUGAAACCCGUAGUGAAGUAUGUUGUUUAAUUAGAUAAUCCGCAAAAGACCUCCCCACAAUUUGAAUAUUUAAAUUAUUAAUCCAAGCGUUGCACGGCGUGUCUUCAGUUAAUGUCGUGAGAUUAGGUUAGUUCCAUUAAAUUAACGUAAACCCUUGCUUUAUUUAUAUUAUAAAGUAGAUCACCGCUAUAUUGGAUGUGAUAAUAGGGGGUAAGACAAGUCAUCACGGCAUAAAUAUUGU
Molecule: ribosomal RNA, 737 nt
Filed under: Pertusaria constricta
Lineage: Eukaryota; Fungi; Ascomycota; Lecanoromycetes; Pertusariales; Pertusariaceae
Description: SSU rRNA
Rfam family: Bacterial small subunit ribosomal RNA
Source: RNAcentral